CCUACGGGAGGCUGCAGUGGGGAAUAUUGCACAAUGGGCGCAAGCCUGAUGCAGCCAUGCCGCGUGUGUGAAGAAGGCCUUCGGGUUGUAAAGCACUUUCUGCGGGGAGGAAGGCGGUGAGGUUAAUAACCUCAUCGGUUGACGUUACCCGCAGAAGAAGCACCGGCUAACUCCGUGCCAGCAGCCGCGGUAAUACGGAGGGUGCAAGCGUUAAUCGGAAUUACUGGGCGUAAAGCGCACGCAGGCGGUCUGUCAAGUCGGAUGUGAAAUCCCCGGGCUCAACCUGGGAACUGCAUUCGAAACUGGCAGGCUAGAGUCUUGUAGAGGGGGGUAGAAUUCCAGGUGUAGCGGUGAAAUGCGUAGAGAUCUGGAGGAAUACCGGUGGCGAAGGCGGCCCCCUGGACAAAGACUGACGCUCAGGUGCGAAAGCGUGGGGAGCAAACAGGAUUAGAUACCCGGGUAGUC
Molecule: ribosomal RNA, 465 nt
Filed under: uncultured Klebsiella sp.
Lineage: Bacteria; Pseudomonadati; Pseudomonadota; Gammaproteobacteria; Enterobacterales; Enterobacteriaceae
Description: bacterial SSU rRNA
Rfam family: Bacterial small subunit ribosomal RNA
Source: RNAcentral